RNAcentral lists this ribosomal RNA (903 nucleotides) under uncultured bacterium. Its description in RNAcentral is "bacterial SSU rRNA". It matches the Rfam family "Bacterial small subunit ribosomal RNA", at positions 28 to 1376 of the family's 1533-position model. The record is from RNAcentral.
GACGAACGCUGACGGCGUGCCUAACACAUGCAAGUCGAGCGAGGAACUUCGGUUCCUAGCGGCGGACGGGUGAGUAACACGUGGGUAACCUGCCUUAUAGAGGGGGAUAGCCUUCCGAAAGGAAGAUUAAUACCGCAUAAAGUAUGGUAGUCGCAUGACUACAAUACUAAAGGAGCAAUCCGCUAUAAGAUGGACCCGCGGCGCAUUAGCUAGUUGGUGAGGUAACGGCUCACCAAGGCGACGAUGCGUAGCCGACCUGAGAGGGUGAUCGGCCACAUUGGAACUGAGAUACGGUCCAGACUCCUACGGGAGGCAGCAGUGGGGAAUAUUGCACAAUGGGCGAAAGCCUGAUGCAGCAACGCCGCGUGAGUGAUGAAGGCCUUCGGGUUGUAAAGCUCUGUCUUUUGGGACGAUAAUGACGGUACCAAAGGAGGAAGCCACGGCUAACUACGUGCCAGCAGCCGCGGUAAUACGUAGGUGGCAAGCGUUGUCCGGAUUUACUGGGCGUAAAGAAUGCGUAGGCGGAUAUUUAAGUGGGAUGUGAAAUACCCGGGCUCAACUUGGGUGCUGCAUUCCAAACUGGAUAUCUAGAGUGCGGGAGAGGAGAGUGGAAUUCCUAGUGUAGCGGUGAAAUGCGUAGAGAUUAGGAAGAACACCAGUGGCGAAGGCGACUCUCUGGACCGUAACUGACGCUGAGGCAUGAAAGCGUGGGGAGCAAACAGGAUUAGAUACCCUGGUAGUCCACGCCGUAAACGAUGGGUACUAGGUGUAGGAGGUAUCGACUCCUUCUGUGCCGCAGUUAACACAAUAAGUACCCCGCCUGGGGAGUACGGUCGCAAGAUUAAAACUCAAAUGAAUUGACGGAAGGGCGAAUUCUGCAGAUAUCCAUCACACUGGCGGCCG